RNAcentral lists this ribosomal RNA (591 nucleotides) under uncultured Dechloromonas sp. Its description in RNAcentral is "bacterial SSU rRNA". It matches the Rfam family "Bacterial small subunit ribosomal RNA", at positions 335 to 917 of the family's 1533-position model. Lineage: Bacteria; Pseudomonadati; Pseudomonadota; Betaproteobacteria; Rhodocyclales; Azonexaceae. The record is from RNAcentral.
ACUCCUACGGGAGGCAGCAGUGGGGAAUUUUGGACAAUGGGCGCAAGCCUGAUCCAGCCAUGCCGCGUGAGUGAAGAAGGCCUUCGGGUUGUAAAGCUCUUUCAGCCGGGAAGAAAACGCAUGGGUUAAUACCCUGUGUGGAUGACGGUACCGGAAUAAGAAGCACCGGCUAACUACGUGCCAGCAGCCGCGGUAAUACGUAGGGUGCGAGCGUUAAUCGGAAUUACUGGGCGUAAAGCGUGCGCAGGCGGUUUUGUAAGACAGGCGUGAAAUCCCCGGGCUCAACCUGGGAACUGCGUUUGUGACUGCAAGGCUAGAGUAUGGCAGAGGGGGGUGGAAUUCCACGUGUAGCAGUGAAAUGCGUAGAGAUGUGGAGGAACACCGAUGGCGAAGGCAGCCCCCUGGGCCAAUACUGACGCUCAUGCACGAAAGCGUGGGUAGCAAACAGGAUUAGAUACCCUGGUAGUCCACGCCCUAAACGAUGUCAACUAGGUGUUGGGUGGGUAAAACCAUUUAGUACCGGAGCUAACGCGUGAAGUUGACCGCCUGGGGAGUACGGCCGCAAGGUUAAAACUCAAAUGAAUUGACGGA